Molecule: long non-coding RNA, 1582 nt
Filed under: Mytilus galloprovincialis (Mediterranean mussel)
Lineage: Eukaryota; Metazoa; Mollusca; Bivalvia; Mytilida; Mytilidae
Source: RNAcentral
CAAUCAUUUUGUUAUUAACCCUUAUAAGGAGUUAUUCCCCUUGAAAAAUUGUGUACAAUUUUAGAAAAAUUGUAUUUCCAGAACCGGAAGUCGUAGAGACUUGGGACCUUCACCAAAAAUCUUUAAUUCAUGUGACCUUUAAUAUGCACCCAAGGUCAAAGGUCACAGAGUGCAAAAUAAAAUUACGCUGCAAUUUCAAGAUUACAUAUUAGGAAAACGAUAAGACUUUGCUGCAUACAUACAGCGUAUAAAUUGUUCCUCUCCACGAGCUCUACAUUUUAUAUAAUAAGCCCAAAAAUGUCCGACCGUCUGUUCAAAAGUUACAACGGGAUGAUUCUUAAAAGUAUAGUAUUUUGUGUAUAUCUUUUUAAAGGUAACAGAUAUCAACCUACUAUAAACUGCAAAGAUGAUCAGUAAUUCAAAACCUUCAAUUUGAGGUCAAUGUCAGGUCAUGAUGAAAUUUCACCUUGAACUUCACAUUAUACUAUGACCUUGACCUUGUGAUAUUUGAAAGGUCAAGUGGUCCUGAGUUGAAUGGUGAUAGUCCCAUGUCUCUACGACUUCCGGUUCUCAAGUUUGGUAUUGCAUCAUAUAUUUGAUGAUUAAUUGUGACCUUGGUGAACUUUGAAAUUGUCCCAAUUCUUUUUCUAUAAUGUUGUCCUUUAACUGUAGAUCAUUUACCAUUUAACAGAUUUGAGAUAUCUAUUGUCGUUUUAGAGAUAAUGCAGUUUGAAAUUUUGCGAGCGGCGGCAUGUAUUUCUGAAUCAACAACAUCUUACCACUUAAAAUGUUUAAGAAAUUGAAGAGGUUAACAUAGUUAUAUGUUUGACCAAAUACCAAAAACAUUCCAUUGAAAAAAAACCACCCAAAAAAUCAUUUUGAAAUUUUCAUGUUUUGCAUUGACUUUGUAAGUUUCAUAACUUCUAUUUAUAUCGUUGAUAUUGCAUCAUUUUUGGCACUUUGUCAAAUGGGGUCAUCUGAUAUAUCAAAUUGUAGGUCUCAAUAAAUUCUACUUAAAAAUUAAAAAUUUAAACCUCUUUUUCAUCCCAGGUGGACGGGUGGGGUCAUUUAGUGCAAAAAUUCAAAUUUCUCAGAUGGUAAGGUUGUCGCAUAUCAAAUGAAAGAACAUAAAGCGUACAUUUCAAAUUUCAAAUUGACGUUCCCCAAAAAUUGAUUGGAUGGGGUCAUUGAGUGCAAAAAAUAAAUUUUCUUUUACGAUAGGGUUGUUGUAUAUCAAAUGAAAGGUCGUGAUGUGUACAUUUGAAAUAUCAAAUUCCCGACCUCCAAAAAUUAGUUGGAUGGGGUUAUUAAGUGCAAAAAUCAAACUUUCUAGAACAUGGCGUUGUCGCAUAUCAAAUGAAAGCUCAUCUACCCUGUGUUACAUAUAUCAUACUUCCGGUCUCAAAAAUGUAGGCGGAUGAGGUCAUUAAGUGUAAAAAGCGAAAAGUUUCAGAAGGUAUGCUUGUCGUAUAUGAAACGAAAGGUCAUACAAAGUACAUUACGAAAACAUCACUUUUACAGGAAAGACCUUUCAAUUUUCAAUUGUUUUACAAACAAUUGAGAUACUAGUUGUUUUUAUUUU